GUAGCUGUGCCUGCAUCUCGGAAAGGGGGACGAUCGCCUAAACGGUUUUAACCCCUUGUGUGCUGAAACGGUGCCGUUACAAUAUCUAUAUAUAUUUUAAUUGGGGUAGCCCCCAAAAUAUUGGGACAUAUAAAAAAAAAACAACUCUGUUCCGCAGAGUAGCUGUUGACAUUAUAGUUGCGCAGGCACUUCGUUGACUCAAGAGAACCUCGGGCCAAUCGCACAUCCCCAUGACGGCGACUUUGCAUUCGGAUGUUAUCCAUAUCAACUUUCGAUGCCAGUUUCUGCGCCUACCAUGGUGACCACAGGUAACGGGGAAUCAGGGUUCCAUUCCAUACAGGGACCCUGAGAAACGGCUACCACAUGCAAGGAAGGCAGCAGGCGCGCAAAUGACCCACUCCCGACGCAGGAAGGUAGUGAC
This is a non-coding RNA of Pelobates cultripes (western spadefoot toad), 421 nucleotides long. Lineage: Eukaryota; Metazoa; Chordata; Amphibia; Anura; Pelobatidae. The record is from the annotation of a GenBank genome assembly.